This 327-nucleotide long non-coding RNA is filed under the name Gallus gallus (chicken). Lineage: Eukaryota; Metazoa; Chordata; Aves; Galliformes; Phasianidae. The record is from RNAcentral.
AUGCUGUCAGCUCAGCCAGACUUCUUAUGGCAAAUGCAUGAAUAUCCUCUACUGAUUUUUUAACAUCAUGGUCACCACCUCCAGGUUCUACUUCCUCGUUUUCUUCACUCUCUUUUUCUUCUUUAGGAAGACUGCUGUUGAACUGUGCUAUCCAAUCAUGAGCAGAUGUCCUCACCAUGAUCAGUUUAUCCGGCUUUGUGGAGAUACGCAACUCUGCAAACAGCUCUGUUACUUCUUUGGUGAACUCCUCAUCUCCUUUCUUUUCUUCCUCUUCUUCUUCAAAGAAUUCAGCUAAAGAAAAUGCUUCAUUGAGUUGCUCCAUUUCCU